CCGCGCUAGGUGGGGAGCUCGCCGUGCCCUGAACCCGCAAUCGGCGAUAGCGGGGCUGAAUUCCCUGCCCGCGGGCUCGCCUUGUGGGGACGGGCUGACGCGCGGGGCGAUGAAGGUUGGGUCCUGCGCGGCGGCACAGGGUGAACCCCGCCAGGCCCGGAAGGGAGCAACGGUAAGCCCUCCCUGCCGCGCGCCGCAGGGUUGCCUGGCUGGAGCCACCGGCGUCGGUAACGCCCGGAAGGCGAGUUCAACGGUGGGGUGCGCGG
Molecule: signal recognition particle RNA, 266 nt
Filed under: Armatimonadota bacterium
Lineage: Bacteria; Bacillati; Armatimonadota
Also listed under: 1 other name
Description: Armatimonadetes bacterium (hot springs metagenome) signal recognition particle sRNA large type
Rfam family: Bacterial large signal recognition particle RNA
About the family: The signal recognition particle (SRP) is a universally conserved ribonucleoprotein involved in the co-translational targeting of proteins to membranes. Archaeal SRP consists of a 7S RNA and homologues of the eukaryotic SRP19 and SRP54 proteins. In most bacteria, the SRP consists of a 4.5S RNA and the Ffh protein (a homologue of the eukaryotic SRP54 protein).
Source: RNAcentral